RNAcentral lists this ribosomal RNA (327 nucleotides) under uncultured Pelotomaculum sp. RNAcentral describes it as "bacterial SSU rRNA". It matches the Rfam family "Bacterial small subunit ribosomal RNA", at positions 1059 to 1382 of the family's 1533-position model. The record is from RNAcentral. Lineage: Bacteria; Bacillati; Bacillota; Clostridia; Eubacteriales; Desulfotomaculaceae.
CUCGUGUCGUGAGAUGUUGGGUUAAGUCCCGCAACCGAGACGCAACCCCUACGUUUAGUUGCUAACGUGUAACGAUGAGCACUCUAGGCGGACUGCCGUUGACAAAACGGAGGAAGGUGGGGAUGACGUCAAAUCAUCAUGCCCCUUAUGUUCUGGGCUACACACGUGCUACAAUGGCCGGUACAGACGGAGGCGAAGCCGCGAGGCGGAGCAAAUCCGAAAAAGCCGGUCUCAGUUCGGAUUGCAGGCUGCAACUCGCCUGCAUGAAGCCGGAAUCGCUAGUAAUCGCGGAUCAGCAUGCCGCGGUCGAAUACGUUCCCGGGCCUU